CCGGGGCGGGUACCGUCUACUAGCAGUCGAGCGGAUCUUCAUUAGCUAUGCUUUUGAAGAUCAGCGGCGGACGGGUGAGUAACACGUGGGCAACCUGCCUGUAAGACUGGGAUAACUUCGGGAAACCGGAGCUAAUACCGGAUAAUCCUUUCCCUCUCAUGAGGGAAAGCUGAAAGACGGUUUCGGCUGUCACUUACAGAUGGGCCCGCGGCGCAUUAGCUAGUUGGUGAGGUAACGGCUCACCAAGGCGACGAUGCGUAGCCGACCUGAGAGGGUGAUCGGCCACACUGGGACUGAGACACGGCCCAGACUCCUACGGGAGGCAGCAGUAGGGAAUCUUCCGCAAUGGACGAAAGUCUGACGGAGCAACGCCGCGUGAGCGAUGAAGGCCUUCGGGUCGUAAAGCUCUGUUGUCAGGGAAGAACAAGUACCGGAGUAACUGCCGGUACCUUGACGGUACCUGACCAGAAAGCCACGGCUAACUACGUGCCAGCAGCCGCGGUAAUACGUAGGUGGCAAGCGUUGUCCGGAAUUAUUGGGCGUAAAGCGCGCGCAGGCGGUUCCUUAAGUCUGAUGUGAAAGCCCCCGGCUCAACCGGGGAGGGUCAUUGGAAACUGGGGAACUUGAGUGCAGAAGAGGAGAGCGGAAUUCCACGUGUAGCGGUGAAAUGCGUAGAGAUGUGGAGGAACACCAGUGGCGAAGGCGGCUCUCUGGUCUGUAACUGACGCUGAGGCGCGAAAGCGUGGGGAGCGAACAGGAUUAGAUACCCUGGUAGUCCACGCCGUAAACGAUGAGUGCUA
RNAcentral lists this ribosomal RNA (800 nucleotides) under Mesobacillus selenatarsenatis. RNAcentral's name for it is "bacterial SSU rRNA". It matches the Rfam family "Bacterial small subunit ribosomal RNA", at positions 37 to 818 of the family's 1533-position model. Lineage: Bacteria; Bacillati; Bacillota; Bacilli; Caryophanales; Bacillaceae. The record is from RNAcentral.